This 253-nucleotide ribosomal RNA is filed under the name uncultured prokaryote. Its description in RNAcentral is "partial 16S ribosomal RNA". It matches the Rfam family "Bacterial small subunit ribosomal RNA", at positions 524 to 776 of the family's 1533-position model. The record is from RNAcentral.
UACAGAGGUCUCAAGCGUUGUUCGGAUUCAUUGGGCGUAAAGGGUGCGUAGGUGGCUUGGUAAGUUGAAGGUGAAAUCUCGGGGCUUAACUCCGAAACUGCCUUCAAUACUGCCGAGCUCGAGGAUUGUAGAGGAGAAUGGAAUUCACGGUGUAGCAGUGAAAUGCGUAGAUAUCGUGAGGAAGACCAGUGGCGAAGGCGAUUCUCUGGGCAAUUCCUGACACUGAGGCACGAAGGCUAGGGGAGCAAACGGG